RNAcentral lists this ribosomal RNA (253 nucleotides) under uncultured bacterium. RNAcentral describes it as "partial 16S ribosomal RNA". It matches the Rfam family "Bacterial small subunit ribosomal RNA", at positions 524 to 776 of the family's 1533-position model. The record is from RNAcentral.
UACGGAGGGUGCGAGCGUUAAUCGGAUUUACUGGGCGUAAAGCGCGCGUAGGCGGUUUGGUAAGUCAGAUGUGAAAUCCCCGGGCUCAACCUGGGAAUGGCAUUUGAUACUGUCGAACUCGAGUGUGGUAGAGGGAAGUGGAAUUCCGCAUGUAGCGGUGAAAUGCGUAGAUAUGCGGAGGAACACCAGUGGCGAAAGCGACUUCCUGGACCAACACUGACGCUGAGGCGCGAAAGCGUGGGGAGCAAACAGG